GACUGCAGCGCCUGACGGGACAGUGCAACGGCGCUGCACCUGCGUGAGUGGGGGCGAUCGUCUCUGGACCGGACCGGACCGGACCGGAACCGCCCGGGACACCGCACCAGGGCCCGUCUCUGGACCGGACCGGACCCGAACCGCCCGGGACACCGCACCAGGGCCCGUCUCUGGACCGGACCGGACCCGAACCGCCCGGGACACCGCACCAGGGCCCGUCUCUGGACCGGACCGGACCCGAACCGCCCGGGACACCGCACCAGGGCCCGUCUCUGGACCGGACCGGACCCGAACCGCCCGGGACACCGCACCAGGGCCCGUCUCUGGACCGGACCGGACCCGCCCGGGACACCGCACCAGGGCCCGUCUCUGGACCGGACCGGACCGGACCCGAUCUGCCCCCGCCCCGGACACCCCACGUGGGCCCGUCUCUGGACUGAACCGGAACCAACCUCCCAGCACCCCGGUCACCCCGCAUGGGGCCAUUCGCCUCUGCACCAGCCUGGAACCGACCCCCUAAUGCCCCGGGAACCCCCCGUGGGCCCGUCUCCAUAACGGACUGAAACAGACCUGCCACCACCCCAGGCCCCCUGUGUGGGCCCAUCUCUGUAACUGAGCGGAACCGACUUCCCACGCCCGGGCACCCCGUGUGGGCCCGUCUCUGUAACAGCAGAACCAACUUCACCCACUUCCAGUGCCCCAGACGUCAUGUCUGGCCCGAUCUCAGUAAUGGACCAGAACCAACCUUAUCCCUGCUCCAGGUGCCCCAGAUGUCAAGCCUGGCUCCAUCUCUGCAAUGGACCUUUAUCAACCUCCUCUUGAUCCCAAUAUCUUUAAUAUUAUGCCUGUUCUCAUCUGUAUAAUGGACAUGGACCAACCUGGCCCAUUUCUAAUCCUGCCAUACAAUAUUUUUUCCCCCAGGAUAAACUAGAGAGAGUUAUAAGUCUGUGAGCAGCCUCCAGAGAAGUGAUAUCCCUGCUCCAUCCUGAUUAGAACAACCUCCAUGAAAACAGGAGAUCACAACAUGCCAUGCACUACUUUUAACAAAUGACCUAUAGAGGCAAUGGAUCACAGCAUAUCAUGCUCCAUCUUGACCUAAUCUGCCUUUCAUCUAUCUACCUAUAGUAUUUCUAAGGUGCCCCUUUACACCCAAGCUUGACUCUACGAAAGCAAGGAAAAUUCUAUACAACCCUGUCAUCCCAUGUUAAUGGAACAUAUUGAUUAAGAAUUAAUAUGCUCAGAAAUCUGGAAAUCCACAACAAAUGUUUUCACAGCAAAUGCACAUAUACUGUAAAGCAUAAAGUUAAUAGCUGAUACAGAAAUACAGAAUAUUACAUAAAUUGAAGGGGACAGAGUAUAAUUGCUGUGCAACUAUAAUUUAUUCUUCUGACCUUUGAACAACAAAUUCUCCACUAGAACAUUGUUUUAUUUGCAGCGAAUGCAUAAAAUAAUAGUGUUCUCUGAGUUUUUGGCUUUGUUGAGACAUAAUCAACUGUUUUUUGUUUUGGAACAGGUAUGCAGCAAAAUGCAAAGUGAUUAAAGAGAGAGUAAAAAAAACCCAGGAAAGUGAAAAAAUAAUAUCAACAUCUGGAGUUAGUAAAAGCAGGACAGGAUCUCAGCAGAUGUUCCAGGAUGGCAUAUGCUAUAGCUGAAAAAAUUAAGAGGCAGCUCUUCAAAACUGGGACUAGAUCUUGCUGAUAUUUGGAGCUCUGAUGGUAACAAAAUAGUGAAAUGAAGCACUGAAGAUACUCCCUGCAAAGAUGACUUGAAAAGAAACAACUUCAAAGAACAGAGACUUUGUGAUAGUUCUUCAGCUUCCAAGGUUAAAGAUUUGAGGGAAAAUUUCAUGCUGGCAAAGAUGACUGCAAGAUCUACAUUUUUGUUGCCUUUUACUUCUUUUAAGUUGAUGACACUACCUCUGUUCCAUUGAUUCUCUGAUUUUCUGAGCCAAUGCCACCAAAAGCAGCAUAUCCAAACAAUCACUGAGAGAAAGGGGCAGCUUCAGAAAGGGCUGACUCAGCAGACUGAGACACCAGCUGGCUGGUAAGAGUAAACAUGGGGAAAAAAAGAACAAUCAUUUAAAAUCUUUUAAGGAUGGGAUAUAGGAAAGAAAGGAGAAGAGGAAAUUUGCCCUAAAUCUACAUUUAACUAACAGUGAAUUUUGAGAGCCCUCAGCAAAACAUGCUGAAAUGUCAUCAAUAUAAUUGGGAGAUUUGAUUUGGAUAAGCAUCCAAAUGUUUGGCAGCCUAUGCAAACUUUGACCAGAUCUAUGUAGUCUCCUUUUUCCUCCAUCUUGGUUUGUGCAACCCAUCUUCUAGUUACAUUCUAAAUCCAUUCUCUAAUCCCUGACCCCUGCCUGUUCCCAUACUUUCUGGCCAAGGCAAUGUAUUUUAUUUUCAACCAACCUUCUCAAAGUUUUAGCUUUUACAUCCACAGUUCAACUGUCCAUUAUAUUUAUAUAAACCUCUAACUUCAUCAGUGUUAGUCAACUCUUGUUAGUUUUGCUAAUGAUGACCAACUAUGAAACACUAAGUUGCCUUAAAAAAAAUUGUUUGAGUAUUCUACGGUAAUUCUC
Molecule: long non-coding RNA, 2575 nt
Organism: Mauremys mutica (yellowpond turtle)
Lineage: Eukaryota; Metazoa; Chordata; Testudines; Geoemydidae
Exons: 5
Source: RefSeq, a predicted model, not a curated record